GUGGCGGACGGGUGAGUAAUGUCUGGGAAACUGCCCGAUGGAGGGGGAUAACUACUGGAAACGGUAGCUAAUACCGCAUAACGUCGCAAGACCAAAGAGGGGGACCUUCGGGCCUCUUGCCAUCGGAUGUGCCCAGAUGGGAUUAGCUUGUAGGUGAGGUAACGGCUCACCUAGGCGACGAUCCCUAGCUGGUCUGAGAGGAUGACCAGCCACACUGGAACUGAGACACGGUCCAGACUCCUACGGGAGGCAGCAGUGGGGAAUAUUGCACAAUGGGCGCAAGCCUGAUGCAGCCAUGCCGCGUGUAUGAAGAAGGCCUUCGGGUUGUAAAGUACUUUCAGCGGGGAGGAAGGGAGUGAGGUUAAUAACCUCAUUCAUUGACGUUACCCGCAGAAGAAGCACCGGCUAACUCCGUGCCAGCAGCCGCGGUAAUACGGAGGGUGCAAGCGUUAAUCGGAAUUACUGGGCGUAAAGCGCACGCAGGCGGUCUGUCAAGUCGGAUGUGAAAUCCCCGGGCUCAACCUGGGAACUGCAUUCGAAACUGGCAGGCUGGAGUCUUGUAGAGGGGGGUAGAAUUCCAGGUGUAGCGGUGAAAUGCGUAGAGAUCUGGAGGAAUACCGGUGGCGAAGGCGGCCCCCUGGACAAAGACUGACGCUCAGGUGCGAAAGCGUGGGGAGCAAAC
RNAcentral lists this ribosomal RNA (682 nucleotides) under Klebsiella sp. RNAcentral's name for it is "bacterial SSU rRNA". It matches the Rfam family "Bacterial small subunit ribosomal RNA", at positions 95 to 773 of the family's 1533-position model. Lineage: Bacteria; Pseudomonadati; Pseudomonadota; Gammaproteobacteria; Enterobacterales; Enterobacteriaceae. The record is from RNAcentral.